CUCAAACAACACAAACAAAGCUCCUUCAUAUACACUCCCCAUCGGCAAUAAACGUCUCUCUCCCAUUUCCACCGAAUCACCACCACCGUUAUCACUCGCCAUAGUCUGAGCAGGUACAUAACAGACAUCCGUUGCAUGUUUCACACAAGAACCUAUCGCUGGCUCUGCAGUAAUAAGUAUAACCUUAGCACCGUUCGAUUUAGCUACAGAGCAAAGCGCAUCGACGGUUGAGAAUCCUCCAGGACCAGCUGAAGCGAUUAAGAGAUCAGAAGAUGAGAUUGGAGGUGUUGUCAUGUCGAAGACUAAGUGAGUGGGGAGACCAAAGUGGAAGAGACGCAUCGCGAAGGCUUUUAGCAUUAGACCUUCGCGUCCAACACCGUAGAGGA
Molecule: long non-coding RNA, 386 nt
Filed under: Arabidopsis thaliana (thale cress)
Lineage: Eukaryota; Viridiplantae; Streptophyta; Magnoliopsida; Brassicales; Brassicaceae
Description: long non-coding RNA (ATHA_LNC000484)
Source: RNAcentral